ACGGGAGGCAGCAGUCGGGAAUAUUGCGCAAUGGAGGGAACUCUGACGCAGUGACGCCGCGUAUAGGAAGAAGGUUUUCGGAUUGUAAACUAUUUUAGACAGGGAAGAAAUUGACAGUACCUGUAGAAUAAGCUCCGGCUAACUACGUGCCAGCGGCCGCGGUAAUACGUAGGGAGCAAGCGUUAUCCGGAUUUAUUGGGUGUAAAGGGUGCGUAGACGGAGUAGCAAGUUGGUUGUGAAAUCCCUCGGCUUAACUGAGGAACUGCAACCAAAACUACUACCCUUGAGUGUUGGAGAGGAAAGUGGAAUUCCUAGUGUAGCGGUGAAAUGCGUAGAUAUUAGGAGGAACACCAGUGGCGAAGGCGACUUUCUGGACAAUAACUGACGUUGAGGCACGAAAGUGUGGGGAGCAAACAGGAUUAGAUACCCUGGUA
Molecule: ribosomal RNA, 434 nt
Filed under: uncultured Oscillospiraceae bacterium
Lineage: Bacteria; Bacillati; Bacillota; Clostridia; Eubacteriales; Oscillospiraceae
Description: bacterial SSU rRNA
Rfam family: Bacterial small subunit ribosomal RNA
Source: RNAcentral